Molecule: long non-coding RNA, 485 nt
Filed under: Homo sapiens (human)
Lineage: Eukaryota; Metazoa; Chordata; Mammalia; Primates; Hominidae
Description: HSALNT0200197
Source: RNAcentral
GCUUGAGCUACUCCAUGUUGCCUUGUUCCUCUUAAUGUGCAUGUGUCAGGGGACGGAAUUUUCCAUAGUGGGCAUGUCUGGGCAAAUCACUUGUGUAGCCUUUUUUAUAUUGUGGCUGUGGGCAUAUCCUAGGCAAACCCCCCUGUGCAAGUUACCUUAUCUGUGCCUGUUGGCUAUUCUUUGGUUUGAAAGAAUUCUUCCAAGGAUCCACCCUAACUGCCUGCCUGACUCGUUUCUUCCUUUCCCCUCUCAGUAAGGGAGAUGUUUCCUAUUAUCCUUGAUAAUGUGCCAUGAACAUAUGAAAAAACAUAGAAACAUGAAGAAAACAAGAAGACAAAAAUCACUAACAUCUGGUUGGCUGUAUAGAAACAAAGCUGAUUCUGAUGCUGCAGCAGGAACAGUCAUAUCCAAUCAACCUAAAGUUCUCAGUUCACCGAUCACCUGUCAGCCUGCUCAACAUGAAGACAUCAAGAUGAAGACCUUUG